This 253-nucleotide ribosomal RNA is filed under the name uncultured bacterium. RNAcentral describes it as "partial 16S ribosomal RNA". It matches the Rfam family "Bacterial small subunit ribosomal RNA", at positions 524 to 776 of the family's 1533-position model. The record is from RNAcentral.
CACGUAGGGGCCGAGCGUUGUCCGGAAUUACUGGGCGUAAAGGGCGCGCAGGCGGCCACGCACAUCACUGGUGAAAGCCCCGGGCUUAACCCGGGAGGGUCCCGUGCGAUGGCGUGGCUGGAGGCAGGGCGAGGCCGGUGGAAUUCCGGGUGUAGUGGUGAAAUGCGUAGAGAUCCGGAGGAACACCAGUGGCGAAGGCGGCCGGCUGGACCUGACCUGACGCUGAGGCGCGAAGGCGUGGGGAGCGAACGGG